RNAcentral lists this ribosomal RNA (510 nucleotides) under uncultured bacterium. RNAcentral's name for it is "partial 16S ribosomal RNA". It matches the Rfam family "Bacterial small subunit ribosomal RNA", at positions 28 to 507 of the family's 1533-position model. The record is from RNAcentral.
GACGAACGCUGGCGGCGUGCUUAACACAUGCAAGUCGAACGAAGAGCGAUGGAAGCUUGCUUCUAUCCAUCUUAGUGGCGAACGUGUGAGUAACGCGUAAUCAACCUGCACUUCAGAGGGGGACAACAGUGGGAAACGACUUCUAAUACCGCAUACGAUCUAACCUCGGCAUUGAGGAUAGAUAAAAGGUGGUGUCUACAUGUAAGCUAUCACUGGAGGCGGAGUUUGCGUCUGAUUAGCUAGCUGGGUGGGGAACGGGCGAACAAUGCCAUGCUGAGUAGGCGGUCUGGAAGGAUGGAUGGCCAAAUCGGGACUGAGACACGGGUCAGGCCCCUAAGGGGGGGAGCAGGUGGGGAUCUUUCGGCAUGGAGGAAAGUCUGACGGGGGCACGCCGGGUGAGUGAUGACGGGCUUUGGGUUGUAAAGAUCUGUUAAUCGGGACGAAAGGCCUUUUUGCGAAUAGUGAGAAGGAUUGACGGUACCGGAAUAGAAAGCCACGGCUAACUACGUG